AUUGAACGCUGGCGGCAUGCUUUACACAUGCAAGUCGAACGGUAACAGGUUAAGCUGACGAGUGGCGAACGGGUGAGUAAUGCAUCGGAACGUGCCCGAUCGUGGGGGAUAACGCAGCGAAAGCUGCGCUAAUACCGCAUACGAUCUGAGGAUGAAAGCGUGGGACCGUAAGGCCUCGCGCGGUCGGAGCGGCCGGUGUCAGAUUAGGUAGUUGGUGGGGUAAAGGCACACCAAGCCGACGAUCUGUAGCUGGUCUGAGAGGACGACCAGCCACACUGGGACUGAGACACGGCCCAGACUCCUACGGGAGGCAGCAGUGGGGAAUUUUGGACAAUGGGCGAAAGCCUGAUCCAGCAAUGCCGCGUGCAGGAAGAAGGCCUUCGGGUUGUAAACUGCUUUUGUACGGAGCGAAAAGGUCCUUUCUAAUACAAGGGGCUCAUGACGGUACCGUAAGAAUAAGCACCGGCUAACUACGUGCCAGCAGCCGCGGUAA
This 493-nucleotide ribosomal RNA is filed under the name uncultured bacterium. RNAcentral describes it as "partial 16S ribosomal RNA". It matches the Rfam family "Bacterial small subunit ribosomal RNA", at positions 30 to 523 of the family's 1533-position model. The record is from RNAcentral.